CUCCUGCUCCAUCCCAGACAGGUUCAGGCUCUCAGGCUCUCCUGCUCCAUCCCAGACAGGUUCAGACUCUCAGGCUCUCCUGCUCCAUCCCAGACAGGUUCAAUCUCUCAGGCUCUCCUGCUCCAUCCCAGACAGGUUCAAUCUCUCAGGCUCUCCUGCUCCAUCCCAGACAGGUUCAAUCUCUCAGGCUCUCCUGCUCCAUCCCAGACAGGUUCAGACUCUCAGGCUCUCCUGCUCCAUCCCAGACAGGUUCAAUCUCUCAGGCUCUCCUGCUCCAUCCCAGACAGGUUCAAUCUCUCAGGCUCUCCUGCUCCAUCCCAGACAGGUUCAGACUCUCAGGCUCUCCUGCUCCAUCCCAGACAGGUUCAGACUCUCAGGCUCUCCUGCUCCAUCCCAGACAGGUUCAAUCUCUCAGGCUCUCCUGCUCCAUCCCAGACAGGUUCAAUCUCUCAGGCUCUCCUGCUCCAUCCCAGACAGGUUCAGGCUCUCAGGCUCUCCUGCUCCAUCCCAGGCAGGUUCAAUCUCUCAGGCUCUCCUGCUCCAUCCCAGACAGGUUCAGGCUCUCAGGCUCUCCUGCUCCAUCCCAGAGCAUCCAGUCAGGGUCUGGCAGCACUGCCCCUGCUGCUGCUGCCUCUGGGGCUUCAGGAGGGCAGGGCUGAGAGUGAGAGCAGAUUUUCCUCUCUGGUUCCAGUUCCCCACAGAGCAGCUGGGGUUGCUGCCCGUUGUAAGCCACAGCUUGUAAACAAGAGGCACAGCAAGUCUUAAUUAGCAUGACUUACAUUGUUAAUUGCAGUUUGAGUGGCUUUUUAU
Serinus canaria (Common canary) is the source of this 810-nucleotide long non-coding RNA. RefSeq lists it as uncharacterized. The transcript is spliced from 5 exons. NCBI's taxonomy places the organism in Eukaryota, Metazoa, Chordata, Aves, Passeriformes, Fringillidae. The record is from RefSeq and is a predicted model, not a curated record.